AUUCAAUGAUGACACCGCCGGCGGCACCCGUGACGUUGCCUUCUUCGUAGACAAACCCGUUUGUGCACGUGAUGGCCGAGCCGGCGCCCGAACCGCUGUUGAGCGCCGGACGGUUACAUCGUUAAAGACGGCGUUGCCGCCGUUGCCGUUGAAUCCAGCCGCGCCGCCCCACCCGUAGCACGCCGAAGUGAGCCAUCCCGAGCCGCCGCCCCACGACCGGCCAGGCGACGUCCAACCGGCACCCUGGUUAAAGGGCUGGACAAAAUCGCCGCCCACAGAGCCGUACCCGGCGCCGGCGCCGCCGGCCUUGACGUCGCCCACCAUGGCGCCCUCGGUGGGUGGACCCACCGGGUUGUUGUCCACGCCGCCCAUCGGGGUGCCGCCGCCGGGCACCGGCCGACGGCCGACGAUCCCUGACCGCCGCCGCCACCUCCCUGGCACGCACGGGCUCGUCGGGAUCAGUGACCUUGGCACCGCCGCCGCCAUAGGCCGUCGCGCGAAACAAUUCAGUGCUGUCGGGUCCCAUGGCCACGACGGUCGUCUCGCCGCCGUCGCCCGCCGUGCCGCCAGAAUAGAUGGGUCGUACGCGCCGGCAUCACGGGGCGCACCGCCCUGUCCGACAGUGAUUGCCCACUGGACUUCUUGGAUGGGGAGGCUCCAUGCGUCGCUGCCGGUCGACCGGCCGAUAAUGGCGGCGCCGCUGCCACCGCCCGCUCCGCAACGAAUGUUGACUGCCGAGGCGCCGCCACCGCCCCACAGCGUGAUGGUGACGUUGGUGGCGCUGGCCGGCGCCGACCACGUGCGCGACGUCGGCACAAAGACCGUAUAGUGGUAGAGAGAGGCUACCGGCGGGACCGCCACCAGGCAGAGGGCGACGAGCGCCACGGCGGUGACAAGCACCGCGCCGAUCGACGGGCGUCUGCCAGACUUGAUUGUCGUUGCUCUUUGCAUUCCGUUCCCGCUUGGUGUGUUUCGGUUUGCGUGAGAAGGGUUCUUUUAAGGGCUCUUGGUCUUUGUUUGUCACCUAUAAAUAGAAGAAUGUGUG
This 1045-nucleotide long non-coding RNA is filed under the name Pandoravirus celtis. RNAcentral's name for it is "hypothetical ncRNA". The record is from RNAcentral.